UGAAAAUAUCAAUGUAUUUAUUAUGAAUAUACAAGAGUGUGGGAUACCACUGUUACUGAUUGAAAAACACACCAUUCCUAUCAAUUUUACAAUAAAGAACACAUCUAUGGAGAAUAUUACACCAUAGCAUUUACAUCAAUUCAACCAAAGAAAAAGAUCUUCUAAAUGCUAUUACAUUUUUCUAUAUAUCAAUGUAAACUACAGUUAUUUGCUUUUUCAUCCAACCAAAGAAUUCAGUUGCAACUCAAUUAUGCUUCUUCUGAAUCUGCAAGAAAUAAAUGGACCUUAUGAUUAUGUGAUUAAAUUUAUACAAAUAUAAUUUUGUAAUAUGGAAGAAAAGACUCCAACUUACAAAAGCUGAAGGUCAGGCAAUUAAGUAUCCUGAAGUAAAAGUGUCAUCAAUUCUCUUGCAAUCAGAAACUUACCUUACCAACUCAUUAUCCAGAAUUGAUUCAUCUCUGCACACAAGUGAAAAUUCAGCACCUAACUAAAUAUCACAAACCAUAGUUUCUAGACCAGUACUUCGAAUAGUAGCAGAUGCAACAUUCCGCUGGUUUGGAUAUGUAGUCUUUAAAACUACUUUGGAUGCAACCUAUAUUAUGAUCAAUAUUAUUCAACGACAAUGAUAACAGAAUUUGCAUGAACAAUAUUUCAAUGGAUAUGCAUGACCAUUCACUUACUUAGGGAUACACAUUCAGGCUGCAAGUGGGACUAAUAGAGGAAUGCCCACACCAGCACACAUGUGUUAUGCGGGUGUUUGUGGGCAGCCCACAAUCAACCAUGUUGUGUCUGCUUGCCCAGAUAAUCCCAUUUAAUCCCACAUAGUAGUAAACUACUGCGCUAUUGUAUUAAGAGUUUCGACAGUCACCGAGUGGAUGAUGUGUGGUAAGCAACCACGCAAAAAAGAGUUGAGACAGUUCUACUUAGCUCUUGUACAAAUGAAGACUAACUUGUUGUAUCUGGACAUUAGUUGAACACAGCAGCACAAACACCUAUCAAUCAGGUCAGUACAUGAGCAAGCACAUGCAAAGUGGCCCCCAGUGCAAAGGCAUCAUCAUACUAUUGAGAAAUCAAGAGUAGAGCAUCUGUGUUUUGCUUGUGUUGUGUUGUAUGUGGGUGCUUGUUGUUGUGUUGGGCAUGUGUGUGUGUGUGUGUGUGUGUGCUUUCUAGUACCUAACCAAUGUACCCGCAAGAUGUUUUAUAACAGUACACAUUCCAUGGCAAAGUUAUAAAGAAUAUAAACACUCCUUAUGAAUUGUCAAGGAGCGCGACCAUAUGACUGCAUAAACAUAUACCUGGAAACCAGAAUCCAUGAUUACCGUGGCUUUAAUCAGCAUGGAAUUGAUAUGCAUAAGCCCUUGAGGCAUCGACACUAACCGAGCUUCUCGCAAACAUUCUGUAAGAGUAGAAUGAUAAAUAACUUGAGAAGGAAACAGAU
This 1438-nucleotide long non-coding RNA is filed under the name Triticum aestivum (bread wheat). RNAcentral describes it as "long non-coding RNA (TAES_LNC026532)". The record is from RNAcentral. Lineage: Eukaryota; Viridiplantae; Streptophyta; Magnoliopsida; Poales; Poaceae.